CCUACGGGAGGCAGCAGUAGGGAAUUUUCCGCAAUGGGCGAAAGCCUGACGGAGCAAUACCGCGUGAGGGAUGACUGCCUGUGGGUUGUAAACCUCUUUUCUCAAGGAAGAAGUCCUGACGGUACUUGAGGAAUAAGCAUCGGCUAACUCUGUGCCAGCAGCCGCGGUAAUACAGAGGAUGCAAGCGUUAUUCGGAAUCACUGGGCAUAAAGCGUCUGUAGGUGGUUUGGUAAGUCUGCUGUUAAAGACUGGGGCUCAACCCCAGAAAAGCAGUGGAAACUGCCAAACUCGAGUGUGGUAGAGGUAGAGGGAAUUCCUAGUGUAGCGGUGAAAUGCGUAGAUAUUAGGAAGAACACCAAUGGCGAAAGCACUCUACUGGACCAUAACUGACACUGAGAGACGACAGCUAGGGGAGCAAAUGGGAUUAGAUACCCCAGUAGUCCUAGCCGUAAACGAUGGAUACUAGAUGUUGCACGUAUUAACCCGUGCAGUAUCGUAGCUAAGGCGUUAAGUAUCCCGCCUGGGAAGUACGCUCGCAAGAGAGAACACAAGAAGUAGACGCGUGAGAGUGCGACGACGACGACGAGGGAGAGG
This 594-nucleotide ribosomal RNA is filed under the name uncultured bacterium. RNAcentral describes it as "bacterial SSU rRNA". It matches the Rfam family "Bacterial small subunit ribosomal RNA", at positions 338 to 944 of the family's 1533-position model. The record is from RNAcentral.